RNAcentral lists this ribosomal RNA (478 nucleotides) under uncultured bacterium. RNAcentral describes it as "partial 16S ribosomal RNA". It matches the Rfam family "Bacterial small subunit ribosomal RNA", at positions 28 to 523 of the family's 1533-position model. The record is from RNAcentral.
GACGAACGCUGGCGGCGUGCUUAACACAUGCAAGUCGAACGGUAAGGCCCUUCGGGGUACACGAGUGGCGAACGGGUGAGUAACACGUGGGUGAUCUGCCCUGCACUUCGGGAUAAGCCUGGGAAACUGGGUCUAAUACCGGAUAGGACCACUGCCUGCAUGGGUGGUGGUGGGAAGCUUUUGCGGUGUGGGAUGGGCCCGCGGCCUAUCAGCUAGUGUGUGGGGUGAUGGCCUACCAAGGGGAAGGCGGGUAGCCGGCCUGAGAGGGUGGCCGGCCACACUGGGACUGAGGUACGGACCAGACUCCUACGGGAGGCAGCAGUGGGGAGUAUUGCACAAUGGGCGCAAGCCUGAUGCAGCGACGCCGCGUGAGGGAUGACGGCCUUCGGGUUGUGAACCUCUUUCAGCACCGACGAAGCGCAAGUGACGGUAGGUGCAGAAGAAGGACCGGCCAACUACGUGCCAGCAGCCGCCGUAA